AACGAACGCUGGCGGCAGGCUUAACACAUGCAAGUCGAACGGGCGUAGCAAUACGUCAGUGGCGGACGGGUGAGUAACACGUGGGAAUAUGCCUUUCGGUUCGGAACAACUCGGGGAAACCCGUGCUAAUUCCGGAUACGCCCUUACGGGAAAGAUUUAUCGCCGAAAGAUUAGCCCGCGUUGGAUUAGCUAGUUGGUGAGGUAAAGGCUCACCAAGGCGACGAUCCAUAGCUGGUUUGAGAGAACGACCAGCCACACUGGGACUGAGACACGGCCCAGACUCCUACGGGAGGCAGCAGUGGGGAAUCUUGGACAAUGGAGGAAACUCUGAUCCAGCCAUGCCGCGUGAGUGAUG
RNAcentral lists this ribosomal RNA (355 nucleotides) under uncultured bacterium. RNAcentral describes it as "bacterial SSU rRNA". It matches the Rfam family "Bacterial small subunit ribosomal RNA", at positions 29 to 410 of the family's 1533-position model. The record is from RNAcentral.